GACUGUUUACCAAAAACAUAGCUAUCAGAAAAAAUUAAUGGUAGUGAAACCUGCUCCAUGAUUUCCGCUCCCCAUAAAAAGAUAAUAAUAUAAAAAAAAUUAAAUAGCUGCGGUAACCGUGACCGUACUAAGGUAGCAUAAUAAAUCGUCUAUUAAUUGUAGAAUAGAAUGAAGGUCAAACGAAAAUUCAACUGUCUCAAAAAAAUACUUGUGAAAAUAAAAAGUGUGUAAAUAUACACACACAAACGGCAAGACGAUAAGACCCUACGAACUUUACCAAAAAUUUACAUUUCAUAAAAAUAAGAAAAAUAAUAAUGUAAAUAAUACGUUUCGUUGGGGCAACGACCUUAAAAAAGUAACUAAGGCUAAAAAAAUCAAAAAAAUAAGAUUAAUAAAUCAAAAAAAACCGAUAAAACCCAUUACACACACUCCCACAAAUUAAUGCAAAAAAAUAAAAGUUCCGUAGGGAUAACAGCGUAAUAUUAUUUCAAGAAAACUAAUCUCAAAUAAAGAUUGCGACCU
RNAcentral lists this ribosomal RNA (522 nucleotides) under Hyalonema sp. HBOI 23-VIII-93-4-001. RNAcentral's name for it is "partial 16S ribosomal RNA". It matches the Rfam family "Bacterial large subunit ribosomal RNA", at positions 1798 to 2526 of the family's 2925-position model. The record is from RNAcentral. Lineage: Eukaryota; Metazoa; Porifera; Hexactinellida; Amphidiscosida; Hyalonematidae.